UACCCGCCAGGUACUACGAGCAUAGCUUAAACCCAAAGGACUUGGCGGUGUCUCAGACCCACCUAGAGGAGCCUGUUCUAGAACCGAUAAUCCCCGUUAAACCUCACCACUUCUUGUUAAUCCCGCCUAUAUACCGCCGUCGCCAGCUUACCCCAUGAGGGUUAAACAGUAAGCAAAUGGACAAACCCCAGAACGUCAGGUCGAGGUGUAGCGCACGAAGUGGGAAGAAAUGGGCUACAUUUUCUAUAACAGAAAAUAACGAAUGGUCUACUGAAACACAUACCUGAAGGAGGAUUUAGCAGUAAAAAGCAAAUAGAG
This 318-nucleotide ribosomal RNA is filed under the name Hoplisoma ehrhardti. RNAcentral describes it as "Corydoras ehrhardti partial 12S ribosomal RNA". It matches the Rfam family "Bacterial small subunit ribosomal RNA", at positions 866 to 1354 of the family's 1533-position model. Lineage: Eukaryota; Metazoa; Chordata; Actinopteri; Siluriformes; Callichthyidae. The record is from RNAcentral.